UUUUGAGCAGUUAACUCACGGCUUUGACCUCGGAAAAAAAGUUCAUCGAAACCCUAUCAAGGGACUAUGCUAGUUUUAAUCGUAUUUAAAAAAUUAAGAUUUUGACGCAAAAAUUAUUCUAAUCCAAAUUCACAUAUAAAAUAUAUUAAUUAAAUAAAAAAAAUUUGAAAAAAAAUUACAUAAAAUUAUGAAACUGCCCUUUUGAACUAAACUUAAGCACAUUUCGGCAUGAAAAUUCUUAAGCACUGUACGGCUGAGCGGGCGGGAAAUGCUGACUUGCUGAGUAGUCUAC
Molecule: long non-coding RNA, 292 nt
Filed under: Linum usitatissimum (flax)
Lineage: Eukaryota; Viridiplantae; Streptophyta; Magnoliopsida; Malpighiales; Linaceae
Description: long non-coding RNA (LUSI_LNC004099)
Source: RNAcentral